CAGUUCGGUCCCUAUCUGCCACGGGCGUUGGAUGAUUGAGAGGAUCUGCCUUUAGUACGAGAGGACCGAGGUGGACGAACCUCUGGUGUGCCAGUUAUUCUGCCAAGGGUAAGUGCUGGGUAGCCAUGUUCGGAAGGGAUAACCGCUGAAAGCAUCUAAGUGGGAAGCCCACCUCAAGAUGAAUCAUCCCUGGGGAUUUAAUCCCCCUGAAGAGGCCAGGGAGACUACCUGGUUGAUAGGCUGCAGGUCUACGUACAGCAAUGUACUCAGCCGAGCAGUACUAAUCCUUCGUGAGGCUUGACCAUAUU
Molecule: ribosomal RNA, 308 nt
Filed under: Spirochaetaceae bacterium
Lineage: Bacteria; Pseudomonadati; Spirochaetota; Spirochaetia; Spirochaetales; Spirochaetaceae
Description: bacterial LSU rRNA
Rfam family: Bacterial large subunit ribosomal RNA
Source: RNAcentral